RNAcentral lists this ribosomal RNA (404 nucleotides) under uncultured soil bacterium. RNAcentral's name for it is "bacterial SSU rRNA". It matches the Rfam family "Bacterial small subunit ribosomal RNA", at positions 26 to 426 of the family's 1533-position model. The record is from RNAcentral.
AGAUUGAACGCUGGCGGCAUGCCUAACACAUGCAAGUCGAACGGGAGUAGCAAUACUCUAGUGGCGGACGGGUGAGGAAUACGUAGGAAUUUGCCCUUAAGUGGGGGAUAACCCGGGGAAACCCGGAUUAAUACCGCAUGACCUCGAAAGAGCAAAGGUGGGGGAUCGCAAGACCUCACGCUUUUGGAGAAGCCUACGUCGGAUUAGCUAGUUGGUGAGGUAAUGGCUACACCAAGGCGACGACUCCGUAACUGGUCUGAGAGGAUGAUCAGUCACACCGGAACUGAGACACGGUCCGGACUCCGUACGGGAGGCAGCGAGGUAGGGGAAUAGUUGGAACAAGUGGGCGACAAGCCUAGAUCCCAGACAAGUCGCCGCGUGUGUAGAGUAGGCCGUUUGGUUAG